This 253-nucleotide ribosomal RNA is filed under the name uncultured bacterium. RNAcentral's name for it is "partial 16S ribosomal RNA". It matches the Rfam family "Bacterial small subunit ribosomal RNA", at positions 524 to 776 of the family's 1533-position model. The record is from RNAcentral.
UACGGAGGGUGCGAGCGUUAAUCGGAAUUACUGGGCGUAAAGCGCACGCAGGUGGCUGAGUCAGUCGAUUGUGAAAGCCCUGGGCUUAACCUGGGAAUUGCAGUCGAUACUACUCAGCUAGAGUAUGGGAGAGGGUAGUGGAAUUCCCGGUGUAGCGGUGAAAUGCGUAGAUAUCGGGAGGAACAUCAGUGGCGAAGGCGGCUACCUGGCCCAAUACUGACACUCAGGUGCGACAGCGUGGGGAGCAAACAGG